Bombus pascuorum is the source of this 2265-nucleotide long non-coding RNA. RefSeq lists it as uncharacterized. The record is from RefSeq and is a predicted model, not a curated record. Lineage: Eukaryota; Metazoa; Arthropoda; Insecta; Hymenoptera; Apidae. The transcript is spliced from 5 exons.
CGCAUCUGAAAUCAAGAAAUAAUUGCUGUAAAACGUCGCCGAGAAGUAUCUUCAAUUAUCCCUAAUGAUUUCAAGAAGGCAAUUGAAUUAUGGACCUCUUUGCAAGAAUAAGACAAAUUGGCUGAUUUCACGUAGAAGAUAUUAGUAAGAGGCAUAGCUUGUUAUUUUUCUUCAGAUAUUGCUUCAGGUGUAUCAGAAUUUUUGUAUACAUUUAUCGCAAACAGUAAUAAAAUGGCUGCCUGUGUUGUUUAAAUAACGAGAAUGGUGUCAACGACACCGAUAAGCACAUUAAGUUUUCAUCGAAGCAACUAACGAGCGCUGCUAACAUCGAGUCAGUAUAAAUUUAGGCAAGCUCAUUGGAAAACUGUAUCAAGAUGAACUAGUUCAAUGUUUUUGCGCUGAAAGUAUGCACACUCAAAUAUUUUCGAUAUCUCAUGGCAGAAUAACAAAGAAAAAAAGACGAUGACGUGAGCGUUUAACGAGCAAAGCUUAGAGAUAAGCGUACAAGGAUUCGUAGAGAUUAUCGGCCCCAGCCUGCGACUCACAUCCUGUUUCCAUCGCGAGACAAACUGCGACACACCCACUGUUCCGAGAACGUCGAACUUCGCCACCAAUUUCCAGUCGAAUCGAAAGCAACGCGUGUGGGAUAUUCGCGAGAUAGUGUAGUUUCCACACUUCUAUUCACAACUGUGCAAUUACUCUCUAAUCGAGAGAGGGAAACGAAACUGAUCGACGUCGAAAUCGUUGACGAUUUGACACUGAUAAUAUCGCAGACCUCGCGAAAUUUUCAACCAACGUCCGUGUAAAUACUUUAUACACGUUCGCCUUUCAAUAAUCGCGUGCAACACCAACGAUACAUUCCUUUCUAUCUGUUUAUCUCUGUCCGAUACUCUCCCCUGGGCGAUGUAAAAUCACGAUAUAGCGAACAAACUGUCACGUGCUUAUCGGAUCGGCGAGAUUUGCGAACGUGAAUCUGUGAUGAUCGGCAAAACGGUACUGAUUGUCAAUCAAGUUCUCGGUAAAGCGACCGGCUUCGAAGCCGGAGAAUAGAAGCCUGGAGGAGGCAAGUUGGUCUGGAGAAGGAGAAGGAACAGGAGAUGGAGGGAGUAUUCUCACAACAAGGGAAGUAGAAACUCGAGGCUGGUUCGCGAAGCCAAGGAAAACCAACCUAGCCAGCUACGAAGAAAUGGUUCGCGGGUAGAACCUGAACUAGACAGUUACUUGUGAAUCGGAUGGAUGUGCUCUUUCGUGGAAAUUGAAAUGUUCCUUGAAUUGGACCCUCGAUAUCGUAACUUAAAGGUUAGAAAACGAUAAGAAAACGAAUAUAAUAAUUCAAAUAUUGCGUCUUUGCUUUGUCGAUAAAGUAGGUCUUUAAGGGAAAGAUCUAGUUCGUGUCGACUUUGAAUCAAUAUAACAACGCGUUUGAAUGAAAUUCGUGGUUGGCAGGAAGCCUACCGAGCUCCCCCGGAUCUAUUUUAUACUGCUGAAUCAUACAGUCAAUUUGGACAUUAAUAUUGCACGAUAUGCGUAACGCACUUUCGUCAUAAAUUUCAGGGAAAUUGGACACGUACGAUAAUGACUCUAGACACUUAAUAGAUCAUAUAGAAGUAUUACAGUCGCAGAUAUUUAAAUCAAAAUGUUUCUGCUUUCAAUAUAUUACAUCGAAUAUGUAUUAUUAUUAUUAACAUCUGAUUAAGCAAAACAAAAACAUGGUCGCAAAAAAGCACGUAAUUAUAAUUAGGGUUCGAUGCAAUCAUAAUUUCCAUCGAUCUCUGCAUAGACAAACGUGCGUGUCGUUGGAUCGUUGCCAAACGAGCCGGUGUAAUCGGCGAUACAGGUCUCGUAAUGUCGGUCAUAGUCAUAUCACUAUGUUUUCAACGACAUGACACUGAAUCAAAUGACACUAAAAAUUGGAGUUUAAUAUAUCACCGAAGAACAGAAUGAGAAUUGAAAUUUUAAGAGUGUAAUCCUUAUGAUUAACUCGAGAAUAACCUAUCCAAACAUUGAUGAUGAUAUGAAGACUGAUCUCCGAUUCUGUUUACGAACAGAGAGACAUAAACACAAAUGAGGAACGACAGCGAUUAUACGGUACUAAUUUGGCUAGUGAAAAUAUUCGAAACAUUCUAUACAUACAAUAUAUCUCCUUCCCUGAUAAUUAUUACUUAGUAUGUACUUACUCUUUUGGUACAAUUAUACACACGUACGGAUAAACAUUUAUCUUGUAGAUAUAAUUAUAUUAUUUAAUAAUGACGAUAUGCUUCGACA